AUACUCUUGUUUCUCUUCAGAUCGAAUAAAUCUUUCGCCUUUUACUAAAAGAUUUCCGUGGAGAGGAACAAGCAUGAGUUUCAUAAAAAUAUUUGAGGUCUGACAACGUGAGGC
This 114-nucleotide small nuclear RNA is filed under the name Leptobrachium leishanense (Leishan spiny toad). RNAcentral describes it as "U5 spliceosomal RNA (ENSLLEG00000004525.1)". It matches the Rfam family "U5 spliceosomal RNA". Rfam says of the family: U5 RNA is a component of both types of known spliceosome. The precise function of this molecule is unknown, though it is known that the 5' loop is required for splice site selection and p220 binding, and that both the 3' stem-loop and the Sm site are important for Sm protein binding and cap methylation. Lineage: Eukaryota; Metazoa; Chordata; Amphibia; Anura; Megophryidae. The record is from Rfam by way of RNAcentral.